UUCAUUUGUCGUUUCUUGGUUUUGUCCUUUUGUGGUACUGUGUGUAACAGGAGUAAGUCUUCCUCUCCACGUUUGGUUCUGCGAGAUAGGUUUUGUUCUUUUUCUUCUGUGAAACUGGUCUUAUUUUUAGCUUUGCGGUACAGAUUUUUGCCUCGGUUUCAUGUCGUGUGGGUGUUAUCUGAUUCUGUGUGGGUUUUUCUCGUGUGGGUGUUAACUGGUGGUGAGAUUUUCCCUCCCAAUUGAAAUUGCCCUAAUUUGAAAUUUUCGGGGUUCUAUAAAUUGGGCAUAAUUGUUCAUAUUUCUUCAGCCACGGGUUGUGUAUAAAUUAGGGAUGGAAAGGAUUGACGAUGCAGAAUGAAUGAACAUGGAGCACACACAACAACGGCGACAGCCUCCGAUGUAGAGAGAUUGCUAUUCAUGAGACUGAGUAAAUAGGGAGGUAUUGAUUUAUAAUUGAAAGGGCAAAUUGGAACCAGUUGUGUUUGCUUUAAUAACAUGUUUACAGUCUGGCUUCAGAUUCAAAGUCCUGGGAAGGAAUGCAUAAUGUUUGGGUGUUUUGGCACAGAACGGAUGAAACAUUACUUGCUGGCUUUGCUACAAACUAGAAGCGUUAAUGAAUGCAUUCUCUUUUUAAACACUUUAAUAUUUCAUGUCUCCUAAAUUACCAUUUUUGUUAACUAAUCUUUUUCUGGCUCCAUCAUCCCUAUUUGUUUUUGUUUCAUAUUUUUAAACCAGUUUAAUUUAAUAUAGACAUGAUAAAUAGUGGGUACACUUGCAGGAGUGAGAUUGAUAAGGCAAGCGAGUAUUUGACUGAAUAGUUGGUGUUGUAUACAUAUGGUGAAACAUAAUGGCUCAAUUGAAACUGAGAUUCUCAAUACCAUAUAUUGUAAGUCAUAAUAUUAGUUGUUUACUAUGUGGUCUUUUCUUUGUAAAUUUGGUAACAGCUUUAAAAUCAUCUUACCCACCAAGUAGUAUAUUGGUUUACUCUUUUGUUUUGUGACUGGGAGAUGGUAUCCACAAAUGUACUUUUUUUAUCUUUACAAAUACAAUGCUUGAAUGUUAAUGCCACUGAUACAUAAACAAGUAAUCUUUUUAUUGCUUUCAAUUCGGCCAUUAGUUGAUUUAUUAUUUUUCUGUUCUAAAAUGAAAUUGCAUCUUUAGUUUUGUUUUUGUUGUGAUAAUUGUUUAUGGAUGUGAAGAGAAGACUUAUAGUUAUAACUAUGAAGCUUAUUUGAUAGUUUAAAUUUGAUGUUUUUAUACUCUAAUGUAUCUCAAAACAUGGUUUGUGAGUUUUUUGAAAAACCAAUUUGAAUGACCAUGCCACUGAUACAAAAUUUGAUUUAAACAUAAAUAAGCCAAAGAAAAUAAGAAUGAAUAUAAACAUGCUUUCAAUAUAUCAGUAGGUACUACUACCGUGUGCAGGCAAAUGUGUAGUUAGCUAACUGAAGCUUAGAUAAAUAAGUUGUUUUUUACCUUAUAAGCUGCUUAAAUACUAUCCAUUGCCUUUUUAGAUAUCAUAUGUUUAUAAUUCUGUUAUUUUAAAUUAUUGUAUAGCCUCAUGAAAGUUACCGACAUGUUUGGUGAAUGAAUUUCGUGUAUACAUUGGUAAUUAUGCAAUCUUGCAAGAUCCAAGUAGGCAUUGGAUGGUGCAGUUGGUUAUACAGGGAUAAUGGCAUAUAGAUAUAAUUUAGUUGACUUCUCACAACCUUAUAUUGAAUCUGACCUCCACAUGGUGGUUACUGAACAACCAGCAAAAUCAAAAACAUGGAAAUUUUUGGAUGCCUUUACAAAAGACAUGUGGCUUUUGAUAGCAGCUAUUCAUAUUUUUGUAGGCUUUGUUAUUUGGUUGUUUGAAAGGGAAGAUAAUCGAGAUCUAAGGGGAAUUGGUUCCAUGCUAUGGUUUUUAGUCAAUGUACUAUUUUAUGCACACAGAGAACCAACGCAGGGAACAUUUUCCAACUAGGUGGCUUUGGCUUUGUUAUUUCAAGGAUGGUUGCUAUGACUUGAAAUUUUUUAUGAUAUUGGUUUAGGUGUUUGGGUUACAAUCUUAUUUGUAAGCCUUGAAUAAAAAUAGCAAGGCAAAUAUUCUCACACCUUGCCAUGUUGAAUAUGAAUGAGAAUUACUUAUGUCCUUUUUGAAACCAAUCUUGAAUUGUGAGCACAAUAAAGAAAAAGCACAUGUUGUAAAAAUAGCUUAACUUUCGCAUCUUUAAUUAGUUCACUACAAAUUACCUGCAA
RNA transcript from Trifolium pratense (red clover), 2238 nucleotides. It is a transcript of the gene named glutamate receptor 2.9-like, with no coding region annotated. The record is from RefSeq and is a predicted model, not a curated record. NCBI's taxonomy places the organism in Eukaryota, Viridiplantae, Streptophyta, Magnoliopsida, Fabales, Fabaceae. The transcript has 5 exons.